CAUUUCUUCAGCUUCCUAUGGCUUUCUCCUCCUUCACUUCCUUGGGAAGAAGGACUUUGGUGGAAUGAACGGUAUUCUCUCUUUCGUUGAUGUGCCGGGAUGAGAAAGGAACAAGGUUGGCAGUUUGGCAACUUAAAUCAGAGGCAGUAACAGCUAUGGCUGACUGAACUCGAUGACAACGUGAGUUUUUUUGUGAAUACCCUGUGUGUGUCUCUGUCUCUCUCUCUUAUUAAUAGUAGUUUGGAUUUUGGUGAAAUCAUAUAUCCUUCUGCGUUUAAUGCUGUUUUGGACUUCCGGGAACCGUUUACUUUCUGGUAUUAUUAAAUGAGGGGCUGCUGGAGUCUUUCUUUUGUUGGGAUCAAUGUAGGGGCUGCUGGAGUCUUGGAAAAUAUAAUAUUUGGCUACAUUAUAUAAGGUCAAAUAAUUGCCAUAUUGGAUUUUCAAAGAGAAAGAAACUCACAGCUCAAAUGUCAUGAAAACUUAUGAUUGUAUUCUUGUUGCCUUGAGUAACACAAUCUGUAUGUAAGGUAAUGAUGUACUUGAUUGAUUGUCUUCUGUAUUUGAACAAUCUGAAAUCAGUAUGUCAACAGCCGUUAAUUUUGACUCAUGUCCUCUAGCUUUCAUGGAUUAGGAUCGAGUUCAGACCUUCAUGGUUAAGUGCAGUACUAAUCUUAUUUUAAGGAACAAAACUAGAUUAACACGGAUGUGUCGUUUAUUUGUUAUUUAUCCGUAAGCAAAUUCUGUGGUUGUGCUCAAAGUUCUUGGGGACACCUGUAAUUCUUUCUUAUUAUGUUAUUUUCUUCAAUAAAACGGAACUUUUUGUUUGUAUGCUCUCGUUGAAAUUGUAGUAUUAUUGCUCUGCUAAUUCAUUCCUGGUUUGGACAGGAUUGGCUCAAUUUCUGCAAAGAUAUUUUCUGCAUCUUCUUUCAUUGUUAGAACAAAAGCAAAACCCAGACAAUUGCUACUAUACAAGUCGGUACUGCAACUUGACUCCUCUAUCGUCUUAUGUACUCAGUUGUUCCCUCUUUUGUUUGCUUUCUUUUCUUUCAAAGUAGGUUUGUCGAGCUGUACUGAAUUGGUGAAUUCAACGUCUCGAUAAUGUUUAGCUACUACGCAACUAGGAUUCAAUUCAAAGUGAGAUUAAUAAUUAACUUGUUCAGUGCCAGCCACAAAUUUGUGAUUAACAUUUUGUGGUUUUCAUUGGGUCGAGAGUCGAACCUUAUGCAGAUCUUUGUUGAAUACCAAUCAUGUGGUGAUCUAUUUGGCAUGUUGUGUUUUGCUUUCACAUGACUUUGUUAAACUUUUUUGUCGUCUAUUUUUUGGACAUGUAAUUUUAGUGGAUGUGAAACUUCUUUGUUAUGACGCUGAUUUAGCAAAUUCCCUAAUAAUAUGG
This 1393-nucleotide long non-coding RNA is filed under the name Linum usitatissimum (flax). Its description in RNAcentral is "long non-coding RNA (LUSI_LNC004533)". The record is from RNAcentral. Lineage: Eukaryota; Viridiplantae; Streptophyta; Magnoliopsida; Malpighiales; Linaceae.